RNAcentral lists this long non-coding RNA (282 nucleotides) under Vigna radiata. Its description in RNAcentral is "long non-coding RNA (VRAD_LNC002322)". The record is from RNAcentral. Lineage: Eukaryota; Viridiplantae; Streptophyta; Magnoliopsida; Fabales; Fabaceae.
UGAAAGGAGACAGUAACUUAGGUUAUGAGAUAGUGUUUGGUUGACGAAGGGGAAGAAGUGAGAUGGUGUAGCUAAGGUAGUGAACAAUGUAAGUCACAUUAAAGUCGACCGUAGCUAGCUAAGCCUGCGCCAAUGUCAUGUGCAGAACUGACACAAGCUGAAUGUGAAACAUUGACAAAACAAAAAUCUCAGAUUCUUAGUACCAAGGGGGUUCCCAUGUUCAAAAUGGUUAAGGUGGUGUGUACACUUUAGGUAAACAUGGAAUCCUAUUUCCACUUCGUC